RNAcentral lists this ribosomal RNA (996 nucleotides) under uncultured bacterium. Its description in RNAcentral is "bacterial SSU rRNA". It matches the Rfam family "Bacterial small subunit ribosomal RNA", at positions 355 to 1375 of the family's 1533-position model. The record is from RNAcentral.
UGGGGAAUAUUGCACAAUGGGGGAAACCCUGAUGCAGCGACGCCGCGUGGAGGAAGAAGGUCUUCGGAUUGUAAACUCCUGUUGUUGAGGAAGAUAAUGACGGUACCUAACAAGAAAGCACCGGCUAACUACGUGCCAGCAGCCGCGGUAAAACGUAGGGUGCAAGCGUUGUCCGGAAUUACUGGGUGUAAAGGGAGCGCAGGCGGACCGGCAAGUUGGAAGUGAAAACUAUGGGCUCAACCCAUAAAUUGCUUUCAAAACUGCUGGCCUUGAGUAGUGCAGAGGUAGGUGGAAUUCCCGGUGUAGCGAUGGAAUGCGUAGAUAUCGGGAGGAACACCAGUGGCGAAGGCGACCUACUGGGCACCAACUGACGCUGAGGCUCGAAAGCAUGGGUAGCAAACAGGAUUAGAUACCCUGGUAGUCCAUGCCGUAAACGAUGAUUACUAGGUGUUGGAGGAUUGACCCCUUCAGUGCCGCAGUUAACACAAUAAGUAAUCCACCUGGGGAGUACGACCGCAAGGUUGAAACUCAAAGGAAUUGACGGGGGCCCGCACAAGCAGUGGAGUAUGUGGUUUAAUUCGAAGCAACGCGAAGAACCUUACCAGGUCUUGACAUCCGAUGCAUAGUGCAGAGAUGCAUGAAGUCCUUCGGGACAUCGAGACAGGUGGUGCAUGGUUGUCGUCAGCUCGUGUCGUGAGAUGUUGGGUUAAGUCCCGCAACGAGCGCAACCCUUAUUGCCAGUUACUACGCAAGAGGACUCUGGCGAGACUGCCGUUGACAAAACGGAGGAAGGUGGGGAUGACGUCAAAUCAUCAUGCCCUUUAUGACCUGGGCUACACACGUACUACAAUGGCGUUUGACAAAGAGAAGCAAGACCGCGAGGUGGAGCAAAACUCAGAAACAACGUCCCAGUUCGGACUGCAGGCUGCAACUCGCCUGCACGAAGUCGGAAUUGCUAGUAAUCGUGGAUCAGCAUGCCACGGUGAAUACGUUCCC